Molecule: ribosomal RNA, 344 nt
Filed under: Cardinium endosymbiont of Drosophila mojavensis
Lineage: Bacteria; Pseudomonadati; Bacteroidota; Cytophagia; Cytophagales; Amoebophilaceae
Description: bacterial SSU rRNA
Rfam family: Bacterial small subunit ribosomal RNA
Source: RNAcentral
AUACGGAGGGUGCAAGCGUUAUCCGGAUUUAUUGGGUUUAAAGGGUCGUAGGCGGAUCUGUAAGUCAGUGGUGAAAUCUCACAGCUUAACUGUGAAACUGCCAUUGAUACUGCAGGUCUUGAGUGUUGUUGAAGUAGCUGGAAUAAGUAGUGUAGCGGUGAAAUGCAUAGAUAUUACUUAGAACACCAAUUGCGAAGGCAGGUUACUAAGCAACAACUGACGCUGAUGGACGAAAGCGUGGGGAGCGAACAGGAUUAGAUACCCUGGUAGUCCACGCCGUAAACGAUGAUAACUCGUUUUUGGGAUGCUAGUGUCAGAGACUAAGCGAAAGCGUUAAGUGAUCC